This 296-nucleotide long non-coding RNA is filed under the name Cucumis sativus (cucumber). RNAcentral describes it as "long non-coding RNA (CSAT_LNC002078)". The record is from RNAcentral. Lineage: Eukaryota; Viridiplantae; Streptophyta; Magnoliopsida; Cucurbitales; Cucurbitaceae.
GGCAAAGAUCCAGGACAAGGAAGGAAUCCCUCCGGACCAGCAGCGUUUGAUUUUCGCCGGAAAGCAGCUUGAGGACGGCCGAACACUAGCCGACUACAACAUUCAGAAGGAAUCCACGCUCCACCUUGUGCUCCGUCUCAGAGGAGGUGCCAAGAAGCGUAAGAAGAAGACCUACACCAAGCCCAAGAAGAUCAAGCACAAGCACAAGAAGGUGAAGCUCGCCGUCCUUCAGUUCUACAAGGUCGAUGACUCUGGAAAGGUGCAGAGGCUUAGGAAGGAGUGCCCUAACGCUGAGU